This 459-nucleotide ribosomal RNA is filed under the name uncultured bacterium. RNAcentral describes it as "partial 16S ribosomal RNA". It matches the Rfam family "Bacterial small subunit ribosomal RNA", at positions 338 to 795 of the family's 1533-position model. The record is from RNAcentral.
CCUACGGGGGGCAGCAGUGAGGAAUAUUGGUCAAUGGCCGGAAGGCUGAACCAGCCAUGCCGCGUGAAGGUCAGUGCCCUAUGGGCGUUAAACUUCUUUUGUGCGGGAGCAAUAAUGGUCACGUGUGGCCAGACGAGAGUACCGUACGAAUAAGCAUCGGCUAACUCCGUGCCAGCAGCCGCGGUAAUACGGGGGAUGCAAGCGUUAUACGGAUUUAGUGGGUUUAAAGGGUGCGUAGGCGGUUUGAUAAGGUAGAGGUGAAAUACCGGUCCUUAACACCGGAACGGCCUGUAAUACUGUUGAACUAGAGAGUAGUAGCGGUAGGCGGAAUGGAUGGUGAAGCGGUGAAAUGCUUAGAGAUCAUACAGAACACCGAUUGCGAAGGCAGCUUACGAGACUAUAUCUGACGUUGAGGCACGAAAGCGUGGGUAGCAAACAGGAUUAGAUACCCUUGUAGUC